GUGAUCCAUGGUCAUGUUAUUGUUGGGCAACAUUUUGGAUAUAUUUAAUGUGUCAUGCUCAACAAAAGUUUUUGAAAGACCUUUUUUGUCCUCAGCAUGGAAAAGUUUUUUUCACUUCCUUUUUUUUCCAUUGAGCUUAGUUUCCUGGCACUUACCAUCUCUUAUUAUGUCUUUAUCUUUCUUCUGGAUAAGAUUGUUUCUCCAAUUCAUAUACAGAAGCCCAGUUAACUUCUGAGUGAUCUCUCCAUGCCCUGGUACCCAGAGGUUCAGAGAUAGUGCUGUUUGCUCGGGUAAUGUUAGUGAGUGGGACACAGUACUGUUUUAAAACCUUUUUCUGGGGAAAAAAAAAAAAAAAAAAGACUUUGUAUACCUCUGAAGAAUGGAAUUAAAUUACAUUCUUCUAUUAUAUAUGUGGAUCUGAUUAUGGGAAUGACGGAAUUAAUUUAUCUUAUUAUAAAGAACAGAUCGUCUUCUAAAAUGCACAUGAAUUGUUUUUAGUUUUGUUCAUUUUAGCUGAACCAUACAACCAUUUCUCAGUAUACAUUACAACAGUAUAUUGUUUUCUGAGGGAGAGGGAAUGCAGCUCUGGAAAGCAAUUAUGGAACUAAUAUAUUUCCCUGAAAUGCACUUUGUGAUGCAGGAUUUUGCUCAUGUUUCUAAAAAUUACUUAAACUUCUGCUUAAAUUAUCCUGGUAUCACAAGUACCACUUAAAUUAAUUUAUCCCAAAGAUACUGUCUUGGUAAGGAUAAGUUUUCCAUUACUGGCAAAAAUAACUUGCCUUCCAUAAUAACUGUUUUCCCCACAUCCAGCAUGUUUUUUUCAGCAGGGAGUAUAAUGCCUACCUAUUCCGUGCACUGGGGCACCUACACUGUAUGUCACAAAGAAGACAAAGGACAUGUAUUUUGGCACUAAAAAAAACCCAAACAACAAAGCAAACAGUCAUCAUAAAAAAGUAACCUCUUCAAACAAACCCUCUGUCACCCAGCUUCCUGGUGAAUUUUGUGUAGGAGUUCAUUUUCCUUUUUCUCUGUGUACCGUGUGUUACCACAGUCUCUCAACUUCAAGAAUGAUCAGAGACCUAUAAAACAUGAUCUAAGAGGAAAGGCUGAAAGAAUUGGGGUUGUUUAGUUUAAAGAAAAGGAAAGUGUUGGCAAAAACAGUAAUGAUCUUCCAAAAUGUAAAAUGUUUCUCUGCAGAGAGAAGGCAAAAGUUUUUCUUUGUGUUCAGUGGGUCUAGGGCAAGAGGUGAUGGAAUUGGAGUAGGAGAUUUAAGGUAGAUAUUAGGAAAUUAUUUCAAACUGCAAGAGUAGUUUGGCACUGAAAAUGAUUAUCUGGGAAUCUCAUUUACUGAAGGCUUUGAAAGGAGGAUUAGGUCACGUGUCUCAGGAAUGGUUUUAGUUGCAGUAGAUUAUAUGGAGAUAACCCCAAAAGGUUCCUGCCUGGUGUAUAAUGUUUUGUUUCUCUCGGGUGAUUUACAACAGAUGCUUUACUGCGGUGUUGUUUUGAUUCUCACUCUUCCUUAUGCCCUUAGAAAAUGCCAGUAAGAAAACACGUCAGUAGGUAAAAAAUUGGGAAAGUGGAAUGGAUGGUGACAUUCCCAAUAGCAGAAUAUUAAGAAAUCACAGGCCCUGCAGGAUAACUGUUAUGUUUGAGCUGGCGUGUGACUUGCUGACAUCUCCUCCUGACAGGCUUUGGGACUCGAAUACUGGGCUGGCAUUCAACAAGCAGUGGAUAGUCAAUAUGCAGAAAUCUGUGUUUUAACUAAUCUUUUAAAUUUUAAUAUUUUUAAAUUUUAUUUGAAGUGUUGGUUUUUCUUCACUUUUUGUUGUAAGUACUUCCUGAACCUGCAAGAAGUGAGCUCUAGCCAGAGUUCACCAGUGGCCAGGUUGUUAGUCAUCAGGUAUUGUCACUGCAGCCUCAGGGAUAUUCUGCCCAAGGUGUGGGAAAAGAUAGAUAUUUGAAGUAGCAGGUCUGGAAGCCAGAAUUACCUCAACUGCUGAGGGGUAUGAAGUUGAACAUGAUAUUGUUUCAUCCAAAUUUGACAUUUAUCUUGGAGUCUUUUUGUUCUUCACAGGGCAUUCAGGUUGCUGCAAUAAUAAGGUAGUACCCAAAAUUCUUGUAUCUCUUUGAAACAGAAUCGAAGAAUUUAUCCUUUGUCCAGGAUCAAUAUACGUUCUGCUGCACAACUUAAAACACCUCUUAUUCACCUUUUCCUAAAUCUUCCUAUUUCUCUGAUUUUCACCAUUUUUCCUGUAGCCUAAAAUCUUUGUUUUCUACCUGUAGGUAGCUAUAGGUCUUCCGCAAUAACAGUGAUCAAAUGAUGCAUGGAAGGAUUAAUGAGAACCUGUGGAGUGUGACCCUCUGGCAGACAACUCUGCCUAGUCCAAGAUCAUCUAUGUCUUCAUCAUUCCUUGACAGAGAACUGUUGAAACUGGAUACUGAAUGAUGGCUACAGCCCAGCCCCUUCCUCUGGAGCUGUGAUGGUGCCACACUGCUGUAAUCCCAUUGCACUGGUCACCAGCACAGGAUCCACUUCCCCAGGGAUGGAUCCUGGUCCCUGAGCCUUAACAGGUCAGUGAGUUCAAUCAGAACCAAAAGUUAAUGCCCGUUGGCUAAUUUCCAGUGCAUGCCUCCACAGAACAACUGCUGCCUUUAACUGGUGGAGAGAUCAAGGCUUGAACUGACAAAAGACAUCUGUAUUUUGGAAAACAAAUUAAUGUUUAUGUUUUAAUUUAUAAGUUCCUGGCUCUUUUAUGGUUCCUGUUUUUCAAGUAAUGUCUCUUUGGAUCCCUAGCUGAUGGAGAGUCAAAAUGGAAAAGGCCCAUGAGAGAAUUAUCACAAUAGAACAUCUGGUCUGCAUUGGAAAAAGCUGAGAAAGAUAUUCAACAUCUCUGAGACCAAGAGGCAGCUAUGAGGCAGUUUGAAAGUCAGUCUAUAAAAAAUCAUGCAGGUUGUGGCCACCUGGGCCAACCUGGUGUUGUUUUGGAAAGAACUACUCUGCUUCCUUGUGUCUGAAUUUUAACAUUUGAUGUUUCAGCAUGGAUAUGUGAGAGCUGGGAGUGGUAUGAAAGGUGUUUGCUUUUCAUAAUGUUAAUCUGAGUCCCAGCAUUGUCCUAAUUACAUUGUGGGUUUUUUGCCAGUCUCCCAAGUUUUCUUUUGAGCAUGUAGGCUGGAGUCAAAAGGCUUUCCCAGGGCUUUUGGCAUAGCUUUAUAGGAAAAUGGAUGGAAAUGACUUUGUAUAUUUUUGGAAGAAUAUUUUGCAUCCUGCUUUAAACUGUUCCAGAAGGUAAAAGGACGUUAGCUAGACUGUGUAUUGGCUCGUGUACUGGUAUGUCAGUAAUGGCAAGGAGUUUGGCUUCACCUAAUUGUUCCUGUUUUCUGCAGUCACAGACUAUGAGAAGUGCAAAGAAAUAAUGGGCCAACCAGGGCAAUAAAGGUACUACUGGAUUCAGAGGGAACAAACUCCUUUCACCACGUGAAACUUGCGUCUUUUAAGUCAUCAUAGCUCAUGCAGAACAGAAACAAUUUGACAUGUAUAACAAGAAACACUGCAAAUUGUUUGCCAAACAAAGACUUAUACUGCAGAUGGAAGAACUGAUGCAAAUUGUUUAUAGAUGGGGAACUAAAUGUAGAUUUUUCAAGAACAAGGUUGCUCUCUUCCUUGCCAAGACAAACAACAAAUCUAAUAGAAGUCUCAUUGCUUUAGGCUGCCUGAGGACCCACUGGAAAAUCUAUGGACUGUUCUCCACAGAAAAUUUGUGUAUUGUCAAUACAUAAGUGGAUUGUCCACAGUUACACUGUGGCAGCUGCAGAGGAAGUGGAAGGUUCUCAGGAAUACAUUAGGGACAACUGGAUUUUUGGCUUCUGAUAUAGUGUGGAGUGCCUUUGGAAACUGUGGAAGUUUGUGAGCUGGAUGUUACUGCUACAAAAGGUUAUCUAUGAGUUAAACAUAAUAGUAAUUUAUCUGCUAUCUUUAGAUCCUAACACUAACAACAUGAUGAAAUUGAAAAUUCCUGUUCUUUGGAAUUGCAGCUUUCCAGGAUGCCUUCAUUCCUACGAAGAUGCCCUGAUCUGCAUUUAGUUUUCAGUGUUACCUUUAGCAAUCUGUGCACAGAUGUUUUUACAAGGCACUGUGUAGUCAUCUCAAACAACUGGUUUUAAUGGGCCAGUUAUUUAGGAAAAGCAUGUAAUGAGAACAUAAAUACAAUCCCUGAUACUGACAUAAAACAUGUAUUAGCAGAAUAAUAUAGUUUGUAUUGCCCUGAUAGAUAGGAGACCUUAGAAAUAUAAAACUUGUCAUGUCCUUAAAAUUCUGUUAUAUCUGUAAACAUAAAUGUCUUGGAAAAGAGGGCCCACAGCAUUCUAGGCUGCUUUAGGAAAGGUAUUGCCAGGAGAUCAAAGGAGGUGAUUAUUCUCCUUUACUCAGCCCUGGUGAUUCUUCACUGGAACUGCUGUGCCCAGAUCUGGGCUCCCCUCAACAUGGACAUGGACAUUCUGGAGUGAGGGCAGGAAAGGGCCAUGAAGAUGAUUAAGAAGAGCAUCUGUCAUGUGGCUGCCCCAAGGGGUUUUGAUGUGAUUAAAGAUGCUCAAAAUCCAACAGGCGAGCUCCUGAGCAGCCUGCUCUGGGUGAUUCUGCUUUGUGCUGGACUGGUUUAGACUGGAUGAUCUCCAGAGGUGCUUCCAGACUGUGAAUAUUUGAAACAGUUUGCUUAUGUCUUGUCAGCGUUUUAGCUGGAACUCAACUGUGUAGGAAUCCUAAAGAGAGCAAAGGCUGUGACCCUAGAAAUCCAUCCAGAUGGCUGAGGCCCAGAAAAGGCAUAAUGAGAGCUGCUAAGUAUUUUGAAUGUCUCAUCAGAGUGAUAUUUCACUUAAAAAUACAAAUAUAGACAUGACUUGGGUCUUAAUGACACUGAAUACCCAUAAUGUUCUCUCACUUCAGCUGGACUGCAGAUGGUAACAACCUCUCUCUAUCUGAGCACACAUAUUUUAGUUUAAUCUUGCUCUGUAAAAUCUUAUCACAUACCUUCCUCUAGAAAUUAGUAUUUGGAGCUUUAUGGUGCAGAAUUUAUUUGUUCAUUUGUUCCACAGUUUCUUUCCUUACUGGUACUGAUAUUAAUAAAUUCAAAUGUAUUUUGACAUAUUCAGUAAUAAGCACGUACUAUGUCUCAAGGAGUUGAGAAUAUCAUAAUUUGAGCAAGGUAAAAUCAAAUAUGUAAUUCCAUUGCAAAUUCUAUGGCAUUUGUAACUAUUCUUACAGCACCUUCAGAA
Molecule: long non-coding RNA, 5268 nt
Organism: Empidonax traillii (willow flycatcher)
Lineage: Eukaryota; Metazoa; Chordata; Aves; Passeriformes; Tyrannidae
Exons: 3
Source: RefSeq, a predicted model, not a curated record